CUGCUGCCUUCCGUAGGAGUCUGGGCCGUGUCUCAGUCCCAAUGUGGCCGGCCAACCUCUCAGUCCGGCUACUGAUCGUCGCCUUGGUGGGCCGUUACCCCGCCAACCAGCUAAUCAGACGCGAGUCCAUCUCAGAGCGAUAAAUCUUUGAUAUCCAGUGCCAUGCGACACAGAUAUAUUAUGCGGUAUUAGCAGCUGUUUCCAGCUGUUAUUCCCCACUCCAAGGCAGGUUACU
This 235-nucleotide ribosomal RNA is filed under the name uncultured bacterium. RNAcentral describes it as "partial 16S ribosomal RNA". The record is from RNAcentral.